UACGAAGGGGGCUAGCGUUGUUCGGAAUUACUGGGCGUAAAGCGCACGUAGGCGGAUAUUUAAGUCAGGGGUGAAAUCCCGGGGCUCAACCCCGGAACUGCCUUUGAUACUGAGGAUCUCGAGUCCGGGAGAGGUGAGUGGAACUCCGAGUGUAGAGGUGAAAUUCGUAGAUAUUCGGAAGAACACCAGUGGCGAAGGCGGCUCACUGGCCCGGUACUGACGCUGAGGUGCGAAAGCGUGGGGAGCAAACAGG
Molecule: ribosomal RNA, 253 nt
Filed under: uncultured bacterium
Lineage: Bacteria
Description: partial 16S ribosomal RNA
Rfam family: Bacterial small subunit ribosomal RNA
Source: RNAcentral